CCUCAUUCAAUGUCAAGGACACAGGCACAGAGAGGGUCGACGGUCACCCAGCUAGGGCUUGCUGUGGGUCCCCUCUCCCUACCCCCCAACCUCUCAGCCGAGACAAACAGGAAGGAAAAACUCAUCACCACAGGCUGUUGUUGAGAAAAAUAAAUAACAGACAAGCCCACAUCGAAGAACAGUCAACAGAAUACCCGACCAGUGCUCUACAAACGAAUCCAGAGUUGUUGUAGACUGGACGGGACUGAGGAGGCAUGAGGACUGGAUGAAGUGUAGGGUCCUGGACGCAAUUCUGUACCAGAAAGAGGCCGUGUGGAAAACUGAUGAAGUCUGGAGAAAGCCUUGAGUUUUGUAAAUAGCAACACAGCCAAGAAAUGCCUUUUCACGCUGGGCCUGGGGGUAAUCCCAGUGGCUCAGGAAGCUGAGGCAGGAGGAUGGGCAGCCUCAGUUCAAAAAGUUCAAAGCCAGCCUCAGCAACUUAGCAGGCGCUCAGUGAGACCCCCAUCUCUAAAUACAAUACAAAAUAGAGCUGAGCAUGUGGCUCAGUGGUGGGGUGCUCCUGAGUUCAAUCUCUGGUACCCUUCCCCCAAAAAAAUGCGUUUGUCUUCUUUUAUUUUAUUAUUUUUAUUAUUAUUUUUUUUGGUAAGAAAUGAGGUCUCGCCAUGUUGCCCAGGCUGGCCUUCAACUCCCAGUUCAAAUGAUCCCUGUUCCUCACCACAGCCGUCUGCCAAGCUGGAACUACAGAUGGGCACCACUGUACCCUAUUACUUUUUCUAUGCCUGCAUUUUUUUUUUUAAGAACUUUGAAUGAUAGGUGUAAAUUAUUUAUUUAUUUAUUUAUUUUUUGAGAGAGAGAGAGAGAGAAUCUUAAUAUUUAUUUAUUUAUUUUUUUAGUUUUCGGCGGACACAACAUCUUUGUAUGUGGUGCUGAGGAUUGAACCCGGGCUGCACGCAUGCCAGGCGAGCGUGCUACCGCUUGAGCCACAUCCCCAGGCCCUCUGUGCCUGCAUUUAUCUUUAGAAAAAUAGGAUACUUUUGGUACCAUUUGAUAACUUUUUUUAAAAAUUUAAUUUUUUUUUUAGUUUAAUGAUCUUCAUUGGCUUCACUUUCAAUUCUAGAAUUGGGCGAUGCUUCAGUCCAUUAAGUAGAGAAAGUGUUUCCUUAUAACUUUUUCAUUUAAGUGUUAGUGAAGCCAGAAUUAGACAGGCAGUCAGUGUAGAUAGGUAAAUCGAGUCAGGUCGGAUCAAGGAGGCCAAUUUUGAGUGAGUCUGGGGUGUUGGAGACUGUCCCCUGGGGGAUUAAAAUGUUAAUUCCUUCAGAGCCCUUCCUCUACUCUUAGCAAGAGCCUGCCCCUGCUCCAACCUGCUUCCAAGGUAACCUGUCGCAGGAAUUUGCUCUCCCUGCAGGAAGCCAUAAGGUUGUUAAUGUGCCCGGGGCUACUCACCCUGCUCUUCCCUCUUCAGCCCACCUGUUUCCCACUUUUGGUCCUCCCAUGGGGCAUUCCUGGGCCUUGUCACGUAUGCAGGAAGAAGGAUAGAAGGAUAAGGGGGAAAGGGCAGGAGAACAAAGGAAGCCCAGGACAGACACAGAAAAAGGGCAGAACGCCUCGCUUCUGGGGAUACCAGGAUACCAGCUACGGCCCCCUUCUCCCUCGCGGGCAAAGUCUGUUACCCCUUUUUAAAUAAACCCUGCUUUAUAUA
Long non-coding RNA from Marmota monax (woodchuck), 1699 nucleotides. RefSeq lists it as uncharacterized. The transcript is spliced from 2 exons. Lineage: Eukaryota; Metazoa; Chordata; Mammalia; Rodentia; Sciuridae. The record is from RefSeq and is a predicted model, not a curated record.